CUCCCUUCGCUGACUCUCUUUUCGGACUCAGCCCGCCUGCACCCAGGUGAAAUAAACAGCUUUAUUGCUCACACAAAGCCUGAUUGGCGGUCUCUUCACACAGACAUGAGUGAAAUUUGGUGCCGUGACUCGGAUCAGAAGACUUCCCUUAAGAGAUCAAUCCCCUGUCCUCCUGUGCUUUGCUCCAUGAGAAAGAUCCACCUAUGACCUCAAGUCCUCAGACCAACCAGCCCAAGAAACAUCUCACCAAUUUCAAAUCCGGACCCCACUGGAAAUCGGACUGUUCAACUCACCUGGCAGCCACUCCCAGAGCCCGUAGAACUCUGGCUCAAGGCUCUCUGACUGACUCCUUCCCAGAUCUUCUCGGCUUAGCAGCUGAAGACUGAUGCUGCCUGAUUGCCUCGGAAGCCCCAUAGACCAUCAUGGACGCUGAGCUUUAGGUAACUCUCACAGUGGAGGGUACACAUCCAGAUGGCGGGUUCCUGCCUUAACUGAUGACAUUCCACCAGGAAAGAAGUGUAAAUGGCCUGUUCCUGCCUUAACUGAUGACAUUAUCUUGUGAAAUUCCUUCUCCUGGCUCAUCCUGGCUCAAAAGCUCCCCUACUGAGCACCUUGUAACCCUCACUCCUGCCUGCCAGAGAACAACCCCCCUUUUUCCUUUACCUACCCAAACCCUAUAAAACGGCCCCACCCCUAUCUCCCUUCACUGACUCUCUUUUCGGACUCAGCCCGCCUGCACCCAGGUGAAAUAAACAGCUAUAUUGCUCA
Molecule: long non-coding RNA, 768 nt
Organism: Pan troglodytes (chimpanzee)
Lineage: Eukaryota; Metazoa; Chordata; Mammalia; Primates; Hominidae
Exons: 3
Source: RefSeq, a predicted model, not a curated record